UCUCAAAGAUUAAGCCAUGCAUGUCUAAGUUCAUGCCUUUAUACGGUGAAACCGCGAAUGGCUCAUUAAAUCAGCUAUGGUUUAUUGGAUCGUACUCGUUAAAUGGAUAACUGUAAUAACUCUAGAGCUAAUACAUGCCACGAAGCCCUGACCCCGCCCGUCGGGGAAUGGGUGCACUUAUUAGAACAGAAGCCAACCAGUUCAUGCAUUCCUCACGGAGUGUAUGGGCUGCAGCACUUCUGGUGACUCUGGAUAAUUGUUACAGAUCGCAGUCGGCUCUAUGUCGGCGACGGGUCCUUCAAAUGUCUGCCCUAUCAACUUUCGAUGGUAGGUGACCUGCCUACCAUGGUGAUAACGGGUAACGGGGAAUCAGGGUUCGAUUCCGGAGAGGGAGCCUGAGAAACGGCUACCACUUCCAAGGGAGGCAGCAGGCGCGCAAAUUACCCACUCUCAGAACGAGGAGGUGGUGACGAAAAAUACCGAUGCGGGACUCAUUAACGAGGCUCCGUAAUCGGAAUGAGUGGAUUUUAAAUCCUUUCACGAGGAUCAAUUGGAGGGCAAGUCUGGUGCCAGCAGCCG
This 579-nucleotide ribosomal RNA is filed under the name Hymenolepididae BOLD:ACK9736. RNAcentral describes it as "bacterial SSU rRNA". It matches the Rfam family "Eukaryotic small subunit ribosomal RNA", at positions 35 to 576 of the family's 1831-position model. Lineage: Eukaryota; Metazoa; Platyhelminthes; Cestoda; Cyclophyllidea; Hymenolepididae. The record is from RNAcentral.